UUAAACAUCUCUUCUUCAUAUUUAAUCUUGUUUCACAUUUUCCAUAUCUGCUCUAUGAAUAGAACCACCACUUUCAUCCAUAGUUGCUUUAUGACUACAAUUAUUGGCUGCUUCUAAAAUGACAUUUUAGUUGUGAGGUAUCUCAAAUCUAGAAUUCCAUCGCCAUGCUUCCUUAGACUUUGAACAUCCUCGUAUUAAGUGGUUUGUUGUCUCCCUGCCCAUUUUACAUAUACUGGAAACUGAAGCCCUUUGUACGGUUUUUUUUUUAUGAUAUUUUCAUCAGCCAAAAGAUCCAACUUGGGUUAUUCAAUCUGUUAUCUCAGUGGUUGUUCCCAUUAGUGCAUCCUUUACCUAUGUUUUCUGCAAGCAUAUUGAUAACUAACUGUUUGUUAAUAAGAUAUAAAAAUAAAUAUUGGAAAGACAUCCAUUUGAUAAGAUAUUUUAUCACCUAUAUUCUUAAAGCUAAGACGCAACAUAGUGUUUGUGUACGACUACCCUUUAUAUCAAAUUUUAAUUAUUUUUAUUUUUUGUAUGUGUGAAAAAAACCAUAGCUUCAACAUACAUAAAUAUAAAAAAAAAAUGUAGCUAGACAUUCAUAUUCAUAUAGAAUAGAUUUCCAACUGUAUAUAUAACCCAAGUUGGAAAUUGUCAACAAUAAUAUUCUGCUAAUAUAUGAGAUAGGACCUUACCAUCAAGUGGGGCAAAUUCAAUUGCGUAAGCUCAAGUCCAACCAAGAUGUAACAUGCGAUUAUUGAAGAAAAUUUAGCCAAAAC
Molecule: long non-coding RNA, 773 nt
Filed under: Aquilegia coerulea
Lineage: Eukaryota; Viridiplantae; Streptophyta; Magnoliopsida; Ranunculales; Ranunculaceae
Description: long non-coding RNA (ACOE_LNC002060)
Source: RNAcentral